AACGAACGCUGGCGGCAGGCUUAACACAUGCAAGUCGAACGCCCCGCAAGGGGAGUGGCAGACGGGUGAGUAACGCGUGGGAACAUACCCUUUUCUACGGAGUAGCUCUGGGAAACUGGAAUUAAUACCGUAUACGCCCUACGGGGGAAAGAUUUAUCGGGGAAGGAUUGGCCCGCGUUGGAUUAGCUAGUUGGUGGGGUAAAGGCCUACCAAGGCGACGAUCCAUAGCUGGUCUGAGAGGAUGAUCAGCCACAUUGGGACUGAGACACGGCCCAAACUCCUACGGGAGGCAGCAGUGGGGAAUAUUGGACAAUGGACGCAAGCCUGAUCCAGCCAUGCCGCGUGAGUGAUGAAGGCCUUAGGGUUGUAAAGCUCUUUCACCGAUGAAGAUAAUGACGGUAGUCGGAGAAGAAGCCCCGGCUAACUUCGUGCCAGCCGCCGCGGUAA
Molecule: ribosomal RNA, 447 nt
Filed under: uncultured bacterium
Lineage: Bacteria
Description: partial 16S ribosomal RNA
Rfam family: Bacterial small subunit ribosomal RNA
Source: RNAcentral